Molecule: ribosomal RNA, 400 nt
Filed under: Mitsuokella sp. oral taxon E99
Lineage: Bacteria; Bacillati; Bacillota; Negativicutes; Selenomonadales; Selenomonadaceae
Description: bacterial SSU rRNA
Rfam family: Bacterial small subunit ribosomal RNA
Source: RNAcentral
AACCGUCGAGUUGGCAAACGGGUGAGUAACGCGUAGACAACCUGCCGCAAAGAUGGGACAACAGUUCGAAAGGACUGCUAAUACCGAAUGUUCUGGGAAAUUCCCGCAUGGAAUUCCCAGCAAAGAUGGCCUCUACUUGUAAAGCGAUCUCUUUGCGAUGGGUCUGCGUCUGAUUAGCUAGUUGGUGGGACAACGGCCUACCAAGGCGACGAUCAGUAGCCGGUCUGAGAGGAUGAACGGCCACAUUGGGACUGAGACACGGCCCAGACUCCUACGGGAGGCAGCAGUGGGGAAUCUUCCGCAAUGGGCGAAAACCUGACGGAGCAACGCCGCGUGAGUGAAGAAGGUCUUCGGAUCGUAAAGCUCUGUUGCCGGGGACGAAUGUAGGCAGUCAAACAGC